GAUCUGUUAGAGUAAUCGAAGCAGUGAACUUAAGCCCCAGUAAACGGCGGCCGUAACUAUAACGGUCCUAAGGUAGCGAAAUUCCUUGUCGGGUAAGUUCCGACCCGCACGAAAGGCGUAACGAUUUGGGCACUGUCUCAACAACAGACUCGGUGAAAUUGUAAUUCCGGUGAAGAUGCCGGAUACCUGCGACAGGACGGAAAGACCCCAUGGAGCUUUACUGUAGCUUGACAUUGGGUCUUGGUACUACAUGUACAGGAUAGGUGGGAGGCUUUGAAACCAGGACGCCAGUUUUGGCGGAGCCAUCCUUGGGAUACCACCCUUGUAGUACUGGGACUCUAACCAUAGGCCAUGAAUCUGGUCUUGGGACACUGUCAGGUGGGCAGUUUGACUGGGGCGGUCGCCUCCCAAAAGGUAACGGAGGCGCUCAAAGGUUCUCUCAGUACGGUCGGAAAUCGUACGUAGAGUGUAAAGGCAAAAGAGAGCUUGAUUGCAAGACAUACAGGUCGAGCAAGGAUGAAAAUCGGACUUAGUGAUCCGGUGGUUCUGCGUGGAAGGGCCAUCGCUCAACGGAUAAAAGCUACCCUGGGGAUAACAGGCUUAUCUCCCCCAAGAGUCCACAUCGACGGGGAGGUUUGGCACCUCGAUGUCGGCUCAUCACAUCCUGGGGCUGUAGUAGGUCCCAAGGGUUGGGCUGUUCGCCCAUUAAAGUGGUACGCGAGCUGGGUUCAGAACGUCGUGAGACAGUUCGGUCCCUAUCCGUCGCAGGCGUAGGAAAUUUGAGAAGACCUGUCCUUAGUACGAGAGGACCGGGAUGGACG
This 821-nucleotide ribosomal RNA is filed under the name Clostridioides difficile. Its description in RNAcentral is "partial 23S ribosomal RNA". It matches the Rfam family "Bacterial large subunit ribosomal RNA", at positions 1884 to 2703 of the family's 2925-position model. Lineage: Bacteria; Bacillati; Bacillota; Clostridia; Peptostreptococcales; Peptostreptococcaceae. The record is from RNAcentral.